This 308-nucleotide ribosomal RNA is filed under the name Aliatypus isolatus. RNAcentral describes it as "partial 12S ribosomal RNA". Lineage: Eukaryota; Metazoa; Arthropoda; Arachnida; Araneae; Antrodiaetidae. The record is from RNAcentral.
UGGUAAUAACAAUAAACCAAAACAUUUUGACGGCCUAUUUCCACAAUCAGAGGAACUCGUCCAAUAACCGUCACUACCCGCUAAUUUUCACUUUUUUUCAAAACCUUUAUACCACCGUUAAAUUACCUUUAUAAAAAUCUAAUUGUAAAGAAAAACCUCAGUUUCCAGGUCAAGGUGAAGUCAAUAAAAAAGAUAGGAUAAGUUACAUUAAAAACAAUUUAAGGAAACUUUUCCAAAGAAAAUAUAAAUUAGGAUUUGAUAGUAUUCCAUUCUCAACAAAAAUAAUUCAAGAACUUCUCUACAGGUGC